This 779-nucleotide long non-coding RNA is filed under the name Bos taurus (domestic cattle). RNAcentral describes it as "long non-coding RNA NONBTAT022032". The record is from RNAcentral. Lineage: Eukaryota; Metazoa; Chordata; Mammalia; Artiodactyla; Bovidae.
UUUAGGAUAAUGUAUGACAGUAAUUAAGGCCACAUCAAUAUUUCUUCAGGGCUCCCAUCUCUCCCCAACUGCAGUUGUAUUGAUUGGCUCACUGCUUUGGAAGAUAAUUUAUUAACCUCCAAUGAUCUACAUCUAAACUCGGAUAGAGCUCUCUGUGCUGUGGUGGAUGUGGUUCGGCUAACAACAUUUUCCAUUUAGAUAAUUAAUUAAAAGUAAAAUUAUCAAGGUUAGCUUUAUACAUUGCUGAAUAACAAAUGCAGAAAUCUAUUCAAAUGAGUUACAUCUAGGAACAAAUAUUAAAUUGCCCUGGAUGUUUUAAUAACAAAAGUAUAAAAUAUUCUCUGUUGGCAAACAAUGCGAGUCAGAAUAACAUUAAAGCAACCUGCCUUUUCUAACUGAAAAGACCCCCUGCACUAUACAUAGUUCCUGUAUACAAUACUUUUUUUUUUUUAAACUAAAGCUUUAUUAAAUGAAUUGCAAUAGCAAUGGCCGCCUUUGAAUAUAUAUACACAUUAUAUAGGUGCAUAUAUAUGUAUAUAUGAGAUACUAAUUUAUUUAACACAAUAGAGGCUGCUGCCAUAUGAUAAAGUUUACUGUACAUAAGCAAAAAAACCUUUUUAAUACUGUACAAUCACAUAAAGGUCAUAUGCACUGUUGCAGUGCAAGAGUAGUUUUAACUGUAGUCUUGACUGGCAUAUUAAUGGCUUUUUUGUAAUCCUACAAAAUUGCAUUCUCAUAUUAUGUGGCCUGAAUGGUCUUUAAAUUAUUCUAUAAACACU